Molecule: long non-coding RNA, 4806 nt
Filed under: Sus scrofa (pig)
Lineage: Eukaryota; Metazoa; Chordata; Mammalia; Artiodactyla; Suidae
Description: lncRNA (ENSSSCG00040005016.1)
Source: RNAcentral
AAGAUCAGUUUGGCAUCUUCUUUUAAAAAAUUGUGAACAAAUCUUUCCAUUUAAAGCCCUACCCUAUUCCACCCUUCUAUCCAGAAAUACAAUUCCUAAGCUUUUCUGAGGUUCUAAAAUAGAACUGCCUCUCUCUCUUUCCCCUCUUUCUCCCUUUCUUCCUGCCUACCUCCUUUUCUUUCUCCCUUAUCUUCUCACUCCUUGGCUUAACUUUAAUCAAUCCAGCUUUCAGUUUCCAAAAGUGUUUUGAUAUCAUCAUCUGUUUUUGUCUCCUUUUUCAUUUUUGCUUGUGUAGUACGAUUUAAAAAAUAUAUAAAUAUACUGUCAUUUAAAUGGUGUUUCAGAAAGGAGUAGAGAUAAACACAGGUUUAAUCCACUGUAUUUUAAAAACCUCAUUUUAUGAUAUGACCACCCAUUCAAGAAUAUGUCUCCAUUUAUUUAAGUCAAAUCUACUAAUUAAAUUUAAUGUUUGUCUUCAUAGAGAUUAAAUGCAGCUUUUAUUAAGUUACAUUCUAAAUAAUGCAGUUUUUCCUUGUUAUUUAGAAUGAACUCUCUUUUUCCUUUCUAUUUUCUACCUAGUUAUAACUUGGUGAUAUUACUUUAGUGUACUUAUAUCUGGAAAAUUUAUUAAACUCAUUGGUUCUAUAAUUUCUGCACUGGUUGUUUUAGAUUUCAUAGCAUAUAAUCAUUUUAUUCAAAUAAUAUUUUAUCUCUCUAUGUGUUUUAUUAAUCUAUUAUGUUUCUUUUUCUGUUUUUAUGUAUAAAAAUAUUCAAAAACAUUUAAAAUAAUAUUGGUAAUAAUUAAUAUCCUUAUUUGACCCCUAAUUUGGAAGGAAUACUUUUAGUAGAGUUCUAAUGGAUAUAAUAUGGACUUCUGUUUUGAAAUGUCAUUAUUUUUAGAAUGUAUUUUAAGACAAACUAAAAAACUGAAAAAAACAUGUCCAAAGUUCACAGAAGCCAACUUUAAAGGGGCUCCAUCUGGACAUAUUUGGGACACUCAUGUCCCCAAUCAAAUAAAUAAUGAUAAAAAUGGGUUAUAACACACUGAUUUAAAAACAGUAAUCCAUAAGUCACAUCGAUACAUAAAUUAGAAAACAGAUGAUGGGAAAGUGCUUUUUUAUAGAAGAAUGCCUGCUAAUAAAUGUAGAAAGUAUAUGAGGAAUGGAAAAUUACUUUUAUUUACAAUAAAUCAAUUCAGGCAAUAGUCACCAGUUGAUGCUAAAAUUGUUGGGUAAAAAAAUAAAAAUAGAAAUAUAAUUAUCUUCUUUAAUAAAAAUAAAAUUAUAUGGAUCAAUUCACAGAUAACUUAUUAAUAAGAAAGAUACUUACAAAAUGGAGAAAUCUGGCAGCUACCAUCUUAACUAUAUGAUUAAAUUUCACAACACCAGUAAAGGACAGUGUCGCAUCACGUGCCUCCUAAUAUGUUGUACUUCAGAAGAGGAAAAGGUGCCUCUUUUGUUAUAUUCCUGACAAUAAUGUGUAACCUAAGUAGAAUCCUCAGACAAAUUUGAAAUGAGAGGAAGAGUCUGAAAAGCAACUGACCUAGACUCUUCCAAAAUGUCAGUGAUGUGGAAAAACUAAACAAAAGUAGGGAAUUUCUCUAACUGAAAAGAGAAUGAUGAUUGUUUGGAUCCUAAUUUUAAAAAGAAAACAAUAAAACAGCAAAACCAACAGAAGGUUAGAGUGCCUUGGAGACAAAUGGCAAAAGAAAUACAGAUUGUAAAUUAUAUGCAGUAUCAGUGUAAAGUUUCCUGAACAUGAUAAUUAUAUCAUCGCAGUUAUGUAGAGUGUCACUGUUUGGUGAUACAUACUGAAGUACAUAUGGAUCAAGUGCCAUGGACUUUUACAAGUAACUCUCAAAUGGUUCAGCAAAAGCAGUGUAUGUAUGCUGGUGGCUGCAGCUCCGAUUUGAUCCCUAACCUGGGAAUCUCCAUUUGCCGAGGGAGCGGCUAAAGAAAUGGCAAAAAGACAAAAAAAAAAAACUAGGAAAACAGAUGUAACUGCAACAUCCAGAGAUAAUCAUUUCAGUGCUUAUCCUUCCAGAUCGUUCUCUUUAGGGACAUCUGUUUUUUAGGUGAGUUCAUAUGGUAUAUGCCCCUUUACUUGAAAUUUUUUUCAUUAACAAUAUAUUGUGGACAUCUUUCCAGAUUAUUUAAUUUUCUUCUAGACUAUUAUUUUAAGUAGCUGUACAAUAUUGUGUAUUUGUUCCAUGACUUAUUCAAAUAGCUUCUGUUACUGAUUUAAUUUUUUUAUUUUACUAGUGUUCUUAUUACAUUGAUGAAAUAAAAUCUUUGGUCACAAUUUCUUUUAAAUAAAAAAUAUAAUAGCUAGAUCAAAGAGGUUGAAAUUUUAAAAUUUUUAUACGUAUUGCUUAACUGCUUUUUUAAAAAGUACUCUAUCUUGAAAUAGCUUAAUAUAAUUUUUAGAGAAAACCAAUAAAGAAAGUGGCUGGUUUAAAUACUGAGAACUCUACAUAAUCUCUUAGCAAUCUAUAACAUUGUUGGUUGAUUUUAUGAAGGUGAGAAUAAAUUAGUUAUUUCCUGCUAUCAUUAGGAAUAACAUUAAAAAUUUCCGGUAUAAAUUGAAAGUGAGAAAGAGCAUAAGACAUUUUACCAAUAUUAUAAAAGCUAUGAGUUUAUAUAGGAAACAAUUUGAUGAAUGUAGUCUUUCCUUCUUUUUUCCCAAAAUAGAGAUGUUUUUAUUAAUAUUCUAAAUAAUAAAAAUAACAUGAGCUCAUGUUGCAAGUCUGUUUUGCAAGUGGCUUUUAUAAAAGUCUUGCUAAAGUCUUCCCAUAUUACUACAUAGAUUUCCCUUACUCUGUAAUUCCCGAAUACUAUAUGGUAUGGUUAUAUCAUAUUUUAGUAAAUAAAUUCCUCAUUGGUAGUUAUUUAGAUUAUUUUUUACUCAGUUACAAAUAAUAAGUAUAUUUUUUGUCUUUUACAGACAUCCAUGUGCUUUAUUUAUUCCAUGAAAUAAAUAUAGCUGUAGCAGUAGAACUGUUAUUGAUAACAAUGUUUGAUAAAAUAUUUGAUAAAAUUGAUAUCAUUGUUAUUGAUAAAAUGAUAAAACUCUGAGUUCUGGAAUUAGAGCUUGAAUACUACCCUCCAUCACGGACAUGCUGUUUAACUUUGGCAAGCUAAUUGAUCUUACCAUUAAAAUGACAUGAAAUCUAAUGGUUGAGGAAUUCUGUAUCCUCUCCUAAUAAUGAAAUUCAUGUAAGGCAAUUACUUUGUACCUGUUGUACUUGGCACAUAGUAAGUGCUAAAAUAACCCUAUUGUUAACAUAAAUUUUUUCUUUAGUGAAUUUUCUGUUCAUUUCUUUUGGACAGUUUCCUUUUAUUUUAUUAAUUAAUUUUUGUAUCAAGAAUAUUUACUAGUGGAGUUCCUGUAGUGGCACAGCAGAAACAAAUCUGACUAGUACCCAUGAGGACACGGGUUUGAUCCCCGGCCUCCCCCAGUGGGUCAGGAAUCCAGCGUUGCCCUGAGCUGUGGUGUACAUUGCUGAUGGGACUUGAAUCCCGAGUUGCUGUGGUGGCGGUGUAGGCCAGCAGCUGUAGCUCUGAUUCGACCCCUAGCCUGGGAACUUCCAUGUGCCACAAAUACAGCCUUUAAAAGAAAAAAAUCAAUAGUCCCUACUAUAAAUUAAAAAUAUUUUUUCUCAAUUUAUCAUGUCUAUAUUCUAGUUUAGUCAGAUAUGUUAGUCUUUUAUGAUUUCUGGUCUUAGUGUCAUGCUUAGAAAGGAAAUCUCUACUGCAAGAUUUUGUUAAUCCUGUAUUUUCAUCUAGAGAUCUUAGUUUUAUUUUCUAUGUUUAAAUAUUUUCCUCUUUUGUGUGUGGCUAGUACUGCUUCUCCUCCAUUCUCUCCUCUAUUCCCCCAAGGGACAUAUUGGAAAUGUUAGAGUCCUUUUUAAGUUAUCACCACAAUUGAGAAAGCACUACUGGUAUUCACUGGUCAGGAGCCAGGAAUGUCUGCCAGACUCCUUCUGUGCACAGAACUUCUCUCAGUAAAGAAUUUCCGCAUACUCUCAAUCUUACCUUUGCUUUCUGCCAACAACAAACAUCUGAAAACUAAGCAUCUAAGAAUUAAAAAUAAAAAUAACUGGAUUUAAUUCAUUGCUUUGCAGAUUAACUGAGUUUAAAAAUAGUAACACCUGAAUUACAGAGAAAACCUGAAUUUCAUGUACCGGGGGAGUGUUUAGAUUAGUACAACCAUUUUUCGUUGUCUUAUUGUUAAUUGCUCCUUUUCCAUGGUAGUAUAUUCUUGUUUAUUGCCACAAUACCCCUCAAAUAUAACGGAAAACAAAACUAGAAAAUUUCAGUUACCUCUCCUGUUUCUUGCGUUAUUUCUCCUCAUUGAGUACCAUUUGCACAGCUUGUUCACCUUACUCUCCUUUUUGAGCUGCUGAUUUUCUUUUUAUAGCUAGUGAUUUUUAUUUGUAUAGAUAGAUCUUCAUUAGUAGAAUUGAUGUCUCUUUUAGGUUUCUUCAGCAGAUUGGUAAGUCUGGUUGAAGGGAUUCCUCAGCAGAACUUGGCUGGGGAACUGAACUUUUAUGACUUAAUAUGAUCAAUUUGUAAAAUAGAAGUUCAGUCCUUUUCCAUACAUCACAAUGGUCAAAAAGUCAUUCCUUCUUAUUUUAUACUUUUUUUAUAAUAUAUGUAAGAUAAAGUAGUUUGAGUUCAUAGCCUUCUGAUGGUAAAAGUUUAAGAAUACUACUUAAAAGAGUUGAAAAAGAUAUAGCUUACAAAUAAUUUUCCAUAAACAUCAUUUCUCUUAGUGGGUUUCUUUAAAGGUAAUUACCCACAAGAG